AUUUCACUUGACUGGGCGGAGUUUAACCGAUUCGCUCACAAUAACCCAGUCCAUCUAUAGAUAGGUGUUUUAGGAUAAACUCAUCAAUGAAGUGUCCAGUCAUUGAUUUGUAAAUUCCUUUGUGACACUGAAGGUAUUAGAAAUCAGUAAUAGUUAUAACAGCAAUCAUCCUUAUCACACACAUCUUCUAAUAGACUGUCCUUAUGCAAAUGAAAACGUAAGCUCCGCCCG
RNAcentral lists this long non-coding RNA (231 nucleotides) under Mytilus galloprovincialis (Mediterranean mussel). The record is from RNAcentral. Lineage: Eukaryota; Metazoa; Mollusca; Bivalvia; Mytilida; Mytilidae.